This 328-nucleotide ribosomal RNA is filed under the name uncultured Neocallimastigales. RNAcentral's name for it is "partial large subunit ribosomal RNA". Lineage: Eukaryota; Fungi; Neocallimastigomycota; Neocallimastigomycetes; Neocallimastigales. The record is from RNAcentral.
GUUGUUUUCUCGAAAAUCAAUUAAAAAAGAUUGGAUUUUGUGUUGUAUUGACUUCAUCAGCUUUCUGCACUCUUUUCUUGUCUUUUUUAAUGCACUUUUCGUUUAACAAGUCAACAUCAAUUUCUUUUGUUGUAAAAGAGUCAUUGGAAGGUGGCUUUCUUUUCGGAGAAAGUGUUUAUAGCCUUUGGCUUCUGCAAUCGGAGAGAUUGAGGUCUGCAGCGUAGAUCCUUCGGGGUUAGAUACAUUUGUGCUAAGUUAUAGCCUUUCAUAGACAACUUGUUGACUAUGAUCAGUCAUGUAGCUUACUCGCUUAUGCUAUUUUACCUAC